UGGGGAAUAUUGGACAAUGGGCGCAAGCCUGAUCCAGCAAUGCCGCGUGUGUGAAGAAGGCCUUCGGGUUGUAAAGCACUUUUAUCAGGAGCGAAAUACUAUCGGUUAAUAACCGGUGGGGCUGACGGUACCUGAGGAAUAAGCACCGGCUAACUUCGUGCCAGCAGCCGCGGUAAUACGAAGGGUGCAAGCGUUAAUCGGAAUUACUGGGCGUAAAGGGUGCGUAGGCGGUUAGUUAAGUCUGUUGUGAAAUCCCCGGGCUCAACCUGGGAAUGGCAAUGGAUACUGGCUAGCUAGAGUGUGUCAGAGGAUGGUGGAAUUCCCGGUGUAGCGGUGAAAUGCGUAGAGAUCGGGAGGAACACCGAUGGCGAAGGCAGCCCCCUGGGCUAGCACUGACGCUCAGGCACGAAAGCGUGGGGAGCAAAC
RNAcentral lists this ribosomal RNA (426 nucleotides) under uncultured bacterium. RNAcentral's name for it is "bacterial SSU rRNA". It matches the Rfam family "Bacterial small subunit ribosomal RNA", at positions 355 to 773 of the family's 1533-position model. The record is from RNAcentral.